UGGGGAAUUUUGGACAAUGGGCGCAAGCCUGAUCCAGCCAUACCGCGUGAGUGAAGAAGGCCUUCGGGUUGUAAAGCUCUUUCAGACGGAAAGAAACGGUUACGGCUAAUACCCGUGACUAAUGACGGUACCGUAAGAAGAAGCACCGGCUAACUACGUGCCAGCAGCCGCGGUAAUACGUAGGGUGCGAGCGUUAAUCGGAAUUACUGGGCGUAAAGCGUGCGCAGGCGGUUUGGUAAGACAGAUGUGAAAUCCCCGGGCUUAACCUGGGAACUGCAUUUGUGACUGCCAGACUAGAGUGUAGCAGAGGGGGGUAGAAUUCCACGUGUAGCAGUGAAAUGCGUAGAUAUAGGAAGGAACACCUGAGGUGAAGACGGGUUGCUGGGCUGACACUGACGCUGAGGCGCGAAAGCCAGGGGAGCAAACGGGAUUAGAUACCCACGUAGUCCCUGAGCGGGCUGGCAAGGCGCAU
Molecule: ribosomal RNA, 472 nt
Filed under: uncultured bacterium
Lineage: Bacteria
Description: bacterial SSU rRNA
Rfam family: Bacterial small subunit ribosomal RNA
Source: RNAcentral